CAGCCGUAAACUAUGCUCGCUAGGUGUCAGGCAUGGCGCGACCGUGUCUGGUGCCGCAGGGAAGCCGUGAAGCGAGCCACCUGGGAAGUACGGCCGCAAGGCUGAACUUAAGGAUUGGCGGGGGAGCACCACAACGGGUGGAGCCUGCGGUUUAAUUGGACUCAACGCCGGGAAGCUCACCGGAUAAGACAGCGGAAUGAUUGCCGGGCUGAAGACUCUGCAUGACUAGCUGAGAGGAGGUGCAUGGCGUAGACGUCU
This 258-nucleotide ribosomal RNA is filed under the name uncultured archaeon. Its description in RNAcentral is "partial 16S ribosomal RNA". It matches the Rfam family "Archaeal small subunit ribosomal RNA", at positions 748 to 1009 of the family's 1478-position model. The record is from RNAcentral.